AUUAGAGUUUGAUCAUGGCUCAGGACGAACGCUGGCGGCGUGCUUAACACAUGCAAGUCGAACGGCAGCACAGGAGAGCUUGCUCUCUGGGUGGCGAGUGGCGGACGGGUGAGGAAUGCAUCGGAAUCUGCCCCGACGUGGGGGAUAACGUAGGGAAACUUACGCUAAUACCGCAUACGACCUACGGGUGAAAGUGGGGGACCGCAAGGCCUCACGCGAUUAGAUGAGCCGAUGUCCGAUUAGCUAGUAGGUGGGGUAAAGGCCCACCUAGGCGACGAUCUGUAGCGGGUCUGAGGGGAUGAUCCGCCACACUGGGACUGAGACACGGCCCAGACUCCUACGGGAGGCAGCAGUGGGGAAUUUUGGACAAUGGGGGCAACCCUGAUCCAGCCAUGCCGCGUGAGUGAAGAAGGCCUUCGGGUUGUAAAGCUCUUUCGGCCGGGAAGAAAUCGCGCUCUUUAAUAGAGGGUGUGGAUGACGGUACCGGACUAAGAAGAAU
RNAcentral lists this ribosomal RNA (499 nucleotides) under uncultured bacterium. Its description in RNAcentral is "bacterial SSU rRNA". It matches the Rfam family "Bacterial small subunit ribosomal RNA", at positions 1 to 493 of the family's 1533-position model. The record is from RNAcentral.